CUGCAUUUGGUUUCGUUGAAAUUUGGAGCUGACAGAAGCUGAAACAAAGCAGAAAUAACUCAAGCCAUUCUGCAUGAAAUGCACGGACAUCUGCUCUCCUUUACAGCAGACUUCAGGUCUGAGCACAAAGCCACUCGUGCUGUGACAGUUGGACGCUGGCAGACGCAGUACUGACUGCUCACUGCAAAUGAAGAGGAACGCAGCAAGCAUCCUCAGGGCAUUAAAGCAAAUAUAAAAGAAGUCCAAAAUCGGCUUUUGCACCACGCGGGCUCACACCCAGCACUGCUGUGCCCUGAAGAUGUUGCACAGUGCCUUGAGGAUGCUGCCCACCCCCUGUGGUUCUCUGCUGCUCUCCAUUGCAUUCCUAAGGAGCAGGCAGGAACAAGCACUUAAAAAUGCAC
Molecule: long non-coding RNA, 401 nt
Organism: Lagopus leucura (white-tailed ptarmigan)
Lineage: Eukaryota; Metazoa; Chordata; Aves; Galliformes; Phasianidae
Exons: 4
Source: RefSeq, a predicted model, not a curated record